Molecule: small nuclear RNA, 138 nt
Organism: Mustela lutreola (European mink)
Lineage: Eukaryota; Metazoa; Chordata; Mammalia; Carnivora; Mustelidae
Product: U4 spliceosomal RNA
Exons: 1
Source: RefSeq, a predicted model, not a curated record
AGCUUUGCGCAGUGGCAGUAUCGUAGCCAAUGAGGUUUAUCCGAGGCGCGAUUAUUGCUAAUUAAAUUAACUAUAUAAUAAAUAGAUAUAUAUGUAAUUUAAGUUAGUGUUGAUGUCAUCUCUGUAAAACUGUGUGUA